This 1225-nucleotide long non-coding RNA is filed under the name Sus scrofa (pig). Its description in RNAcentral is "lncRNA (ENSSSCG00070021883.1)". The record is from RNAcentral. Lineage: Eukaryota; Metazoa; Chordata; Mammalia; Artiodactyla; Suidae.
GGGCGCAUGCGCACCUUUUGGCGGGAAGAAGACCCCUCCCCCAUCCUUGCCGUCCCAACUGCCUGCCUUGGCGAAGGGGAGGGACAGCCAAGCCACUCCCGCCAGAAACCCUGAGCCCAGCUGCAGUACGGGGCGGGGCAUGGCGUCCCCACAUUCCACGGGAACACCUGAGUGGCACCCGCGGUGGCGGCUUCCGCCCUCCGACUGGGCUGGGUGCGGUGCUGCUCGGGCCCAGCUGCCGAGUCAGUUGUUUAUUGCAAAUGUAACAGAAUUUAUCAUGGUCUGUGCACAUGGGUGAGAAGAAGAAUUUCCAGACUCAGGAAAAUGAAAAGAAAAAGGAGUUUAAGAUGAGAGGUGCUGCAAUUGCAGAAGGAUGACUUCCUGAUUAUCAGGGAAAGCCAAAUCUGGUGCGUGGUCAUGUCUGUUUUCGUAGUCCAGGUUGAAGUCCCACAGAAUUCAGUUAACUUUUCUGUAUGAAUUUCUUACCUAUUAUUUGCCGGGCUUUUUCACUGGUUGAAAUAAUUUAUCUUUAGAUUCUUUUGGCUUUUGUAUGCAGAGAAGCAUAAUAUCUGAAAAAUAAUUAAUUUCCCUGAAAAUUAAUUAAUGCUCUUUUUCAGGUAAGGAAAUGCUUUUUCCCCCCAUUUUCCAAGAAUUUGGGUCCUGAUCAGAGGUGUUUCAUGUCUUCCUCCCCUGAUGCCCCCCUGGGAUUGUCAGAGUCUGAGCCUCCACCCUUGAGGACACGGGACUCUUGCACAGAUUCGGGUUAAGAGGUGUGGGCAGGGGUAGCCCCCAGGAGAGGAAUAAUGACUUCCUGACCUUAAUUUCAUCAUCCUCAGGAAGCCUUUGACUUUGGGUGGAUUGAUUCUUGGUUUUGCAGUAAUGUUAGAUGAGUGAGCCAUGUCCUCCUGAAGCAUCUGGGAGCUCUGUCUACAUUCAUUGUCCAGAAUCUCUUAAAUUAAUGCAGGAAGAAAACUAAAAGGUAGUCCCAUUUGUGGAAAUAGCUCAGACAGGAGCUCCCCAGGGCCCCAGCUGGAAACCAAGCUGCUUUCUCCAGAACCAGGGAAGGCAGAGACUGAGGCCAUCUUGAGUCUGGACAAGGAAGUAGGGGGGUCACUCCUGUUGCACACCCAUUCCCAAGGGAAUCCUGCAGCAUGGAGGGGAAGAAGGUUCAUCUCAUGAACAUCCAAACACCAGGCUUUCUGCUCAUCUACCCAAAACCUGUCUC